This 497-nucleotide ribosomal RNA is filed under the name uncultured bacterium. RNAcentral's name for it is "partial 16S ribosomal RNA". It matches the Rfam family "Bacterial small subunit ribosomal RNA", at positions 28 to 507 of the family's 1533-position model. The record is from RNAcentral.
GACGAACGCUGGCGGCGUGCCUAAUACAUGCAAGUUGAGCGAUGAAGAUUGGUGCUUGCACCAAUUUGAAGAGCAGCGAACGGGUGAGUAACGCGUGGGGAAUCUGCCUUUGAGCGGGGGACAACAUUUGGAAACGAAUGCUAAUACCGCAUAACAACUUUAAACAUAAGUUUUAAGUUUGAAAGAUGCAAUUGCAUCACUCAAAGAUGAUCCCGCGUUGUAUUAGCUAGUUGGUGAGGUAAAGGCUCACCAAGGCGAUGAUACAUAGCCGACCUGAGAGGGUGAUCGGCCACAUUGGGACUGAGACACGGCCCAAACUCCUACGGGAGGCAGCAGUAGGGAAUCUUCGGCUAUGGACGAAAGUCUGACCGAGCAACGCCGCGUGAGUGAAGAAGGUUUUCGGAUCGUAAAACUCUGUUGGUAGAGAAGAACGUUGGUGAGAGUGGAAAGCUCAUCAAGUGACGGUAACUACCCAGAAAGGGACGGCUAACUACGUG